RNAcentral lists this non-coding RNA (514 nucleotides) under Pongo abelii (Sumatran orangutan). The record is from RNAcentral. Lineage: Eukaryota; Metazoa; Chordata; Mammalia; Primates; Hominidae.
GUGGCUCUCCAUGCCUACCUGUGGUCUCUUGGACACCCUUGCAGAAUAUGACUUCCUGGGAACUCUUCUGGAAGUGAAUGUUGUCAGCAGAUUCCCAAAACAACACCCCUUAGACAAAAAGCCUCCUCACCUAUGCAUUGCCUAGGCCACCCACGAAAGAUGGUGACCACGGAGGAAGUACUUGUGUUGGGCCCAAUGGCCCUCAGCCAGUGUCCAUCUGCCAGGUGCCAGCCCCCGGUGCGCUGAAGCUCAGGCCAUUCCUGGCACCCUGGCCUCCUGCACUGAGCUGUGUGAGCUCUUCUGCCCAGGCAGGCCCCCUGGCAUUGACCGGCAUAGACAGUGAGCCUGGAGGAAGACUUGCCUUGGUCCCACUGUCCCCAGGCCAGUGUCCAUCAGCCAGGUGCCCAGCCCCCGGUGCGCUGAAGCUCGGCCCUCCCUGGCACUCUGGUCUCCUGCACUGAGCUGUGUGAGCUCUUCCACCCAUGAAGGCCCCCUGGCCUUGAGCAGCAUAGGU